RNAcentral lists this ribosomal RNA (464 nucleotides) under uncultured bacterium. Its description in RNAcentral is "partial 16S ribosomal RNA". It matches the Rfam family "Bacterial small subunit ribosomal RNA", at positions 339 to 795 of the family's 1533-position model. The record is from RNAcentral.
CUACGGGGGGCAGCAGUGGGGAAUAUUGCACAAUGGGCGCAAGCCUGAUGCAGCCAUGCCGCGUGGAUGAAGAAGGCCUUCGGGUUGUAAAGUACUUUCAGCGGGGAGGAAGGGAGUAAAGUUAAUACCUUUGCUCAUUGACGUUACCCGCAGAAGAAGCACCGGCAAACUCCGUGCCAGCAGCCGCGGUAAUACGGAGGGUGCAAGCGUUAAUCGGAAUUACUGGGCGUAAAGCGCACGCAGGCGGUUUGUUAAGUCAGAUGUGAAAUCCCCGGGCUCAACCUGGGAACUGCAUCUGAUACUGGCGAGCUUGAGUCUCGUAGAGGGGGGUAGAAUUCCAGGUGUAGCGGUGAAAUGCGUAGAGAUCUGGAGGAAUACCGGUGGCGAAGGCGGCCCCCUGGACGAAGACUGACGCUCAGGUGCGAAAGCGUGGGGAGCAAACAGGAUUAGAUACCCCUGUAGUC